RNAcentral lists this unclassified non-coding RNA (961 nucleotides) under Hevea brasiliensis (rubber tree). Lineage: Eukaryota; Viridiplantae; Streptophyta; Magnoliopsida; Malpighiales; Euphorbiaceae. The record is from RNAcentral.
GAUCAAGAUAAUAUUAAUUUGGUUAAUUAAUUAAAUGGUUUAAUUGAUUAAUAAAUUAAUGAAUUUAGUUUACAACUAGAUUGCAAAGUGUCUAGCAUGACUUGAAAUUAAAUUCAGAGUAAAUGGGUAAUUUAAAUAAGAAGAAAAUUAGUUUACAUUUAAAGUGUUAAAUAUAAGCUUAAAAUUAAAAGAGUUUAAUUAAGGCAUAAUUUAUAUUAGAUAUAAAUUACUAUGAGAAAAGAGUGUAUACAUGGCUUACGUGGCUUGAAAACCCAUGAGAGAAAGAAAUGUGGCUUAGUGGGAAUUGUAAGAGGCUUGCAUGACAAUUCCAUGGCUGCCUAUGAUAAAGACACAUAAGCCAUUUGACUCCUUUAGAAGGAGACAAGUGGCCAACACUAUUACCAAAUCUCCACCAACCACAUAUAAGGUUUAGGGAUUUCCAUUCCCUAAAUCAAGGAACUCACAUACUAGUUUAGGGAUUUCCAUAUCCCUAAACUAUAAAUUGAGAAACCCACAUGCAAACUAUGAGGAAUUGUUCUUCUUCUUUUUCUUCUCUCUAAAAAGGCCAAGAUUCUUCUUCUCCCUUUUCUUCUUGAAAUCUCUUACAUAUUAGAAAUGUUACCUUGAGAUUUGAAGGAAGAGAUUUUUUCUCUAUCAACCUAAAGUAAUUAUCCAUUUGUUCUACCUAAAAGUUGAACCAUAUCUUGCUUGUGUCCCUAGUGGCCAACCAAAGGGGAGAAGCACAAGGGAGUGUCUUCAGUUCAAGAGUUGGUUACCUUCAUCACAAGGGUUGUGUGGACCAAAUAGAGGAUCUACAAUUGGAGGCCAGAUUCCUAGAGGGUGGAUAGUGAUUCAGCACCUUACAGGUAAAAUCCCUGAACUUAGUUUAGAAGUUUUCUCUUCUUCUGUUUCCCAUUUCCAAAAUGGGCUAGAAGAUCAAUUGCGUCACAAUGGUUGUGAC